RNAcentral lists this ribosomal RNA (208 nucleotides) under uncultured bacterium. RNAcentral's name for it is "partial 16S ribosomal RNA". It matches the Rfam family "Bacterial small subunit ribosomal RNA", at positions 568 to 774 of the family's 1533-position model. The record is from RNAcentral.
CAUGUAGGCGGAUUGAUAAGUUUGAAGUGAAAUCCUAUAGCUUAAUUAUAGAACUGCUUUGAAAACUGUUAAUCUAGAAUGUGGGAGAGGUAGAUGGAAUUUCUGGUGUAGGGGUAAAAGUCCGUAGAGAUCAGAAGGAAUACCGAUUGCGAAGGCGAUCUACUGGAACAUUAUUGACGCUGAGAUGCGAAAGCGUGGGGAGCAAACA